This 24-nucleotide unclassified non-coding RNA is filed under the name Mus musculus (house mouse). RNAcentral's name for it is "oocyte_clustered_small_RNA3852". Lineage: Eukaryota; Metazoa; Chordata; Mammalia; Rodentia; Muridae. The record is from RNAcentral.
UCUUUAUUAUCCUCUGGAGUUGAG